RNAcentral lists this ribosomal RNA (253 nucleotides) under uncultured bacterium. RNAcentral describes it as "partial 16S ribosomal RNA". It matches the Rfam family "Bacterial small subunit ribosomal RNA", at positions 524 to 776 of the family's 1533-position model. The record is from RNAcentral.
UACGAAUGGGGCAAGCGUUGUUCGGAAUCACUGGGCUUAAAGCGUGCGCAGGCGGAUAUGAAAGUCAGAAGUGAAAUCCUUGGGCUCAACCCAAGAAUUGCUUUUGAAACUUCAUAUCUUGAAUCCGGUAGAGGUUGGGAGAAUUCCUAGUGUAGAGGUGAAAUUCGCAGAUAUUAGGAGGAAUACCAGUGGCGUAGGCGCCCAACUGGACCGGUAUUGACGCUCAGGCACGAAAGCGUGGGGAGCAAACAGG